CCUACGGGUGGCAGCAGUAGGGAAUCUUCCACAAUGGACGAAAGUCUGAUGGAGCAACGCCGCGUGAGUGAAGAAGGGUUUCGGCUUGUAAAGCUCUGUUGGUAGUGAAGAAAGAUAGACGUAGUAACUGGCCUUUAUUUGACGGUAAUUACUUAGAAAGUCACGGCUAACUACGUGCCAGAAGCCGCGGUAAUACGUAGGUGGCAAGCGUUGUCCGGGUUUAUUGGGCGUAAAGGGAGGGCAGGCGGUAGAAUAAGUCUGAUGUGAAAGCCUUCGGCUCAACCGGGGAAUUGCAUCAGAAACUGUUGAACUUGAGUGCAGAAGAGGAGAGCGGAACUCCAGGUGUAGCGGUGGAAUGCGUAGAUAUAUGGAAGAACACCAGUGGCGAAGGCGGCUCUCUGGUCUGCAACUGACGUUGAGGCUCGAAAGCAUGGGUAGCGAACAGGAUUAGAUACCCGUGUAGUC
Molecule: ribosomal RNA, 465 nt
Filed under: uncultured bacterium
Lineage: Bacteria
Description: partial 16S ribosomal RNA
Rfam family: Bacterial small subunit ribosomal RNA
Source: RNAcentral